ACCAAGAAAGUGGGAACACCUGGCCACUGCGGGUGCAGCCGACCUGCCAUUGGAGAUCGGGAAUGACUAUCUGUUGUGUGCGCGCAGCUGAGGAUGCCCAGGGCCUGGGCUGCAUGGGGGUAGCGUUAAGAUCUGGGCACAGCGUGCGACACUGAAGAAUUAAUGUGACCUCUGAGACUCAAAGGACCUGACUUUGGAUGAAACAAGGAGAGGAAUCAAAUCUGAACACAGGACCUGUCGCUUCCUACCAGGAUGGAAAAGCUGUGGCAGCUAUGGAAUGAUUAAGCAUUCAGCACUCUGUCUGCCACUGUGGAAGGACAGAUGAAGGAGGCUGUGGGAGUUCAGAGGAGGAAGAGUCCCUCGUAAGUGAAGGCAAGUAAGAUGGACUUAAAAAGAAAGUUCUGAUUCCCAAAGCAGAGAUAGGAGAAAAGCCAUCCUAGGGGAAGAGCAAAGUAUGAGCCGAGUUAAAGAGGGGCGAUAUCAUGAGACCUGAGUGUUUUGGGGAGUAAAAUGUAGCUCACGUUGACUCUGAAUGGACAGAACAUAAAGAGGGGCUAAAGGAAAUGAGGCUAGAGGCAGGCUGGUGUACAGCCAUGGAGAGUCACCGUGACAGAUGGUCUCCCAGUCCCUGCUCCCCACUCUUCCUUUAAUAAUAGAAUCCCUUACUUUUAGGUGGAUUCGAUCCCUAGCCCAGGAACCUCCAUAUGCCAUGGGUGUGGCCAAAAAAGAAAAAAAAAAAAAAGUCGAGGCAUUUUUCUGACCUCUUCACCACUAUAUCCUCUGAGGAGUGCCUGACGUAGUGGUUGCUCUGAAAAUAUGUGCUGAAUGACAGAUGUGGUGAAGGUCUAGCCAAUGGGAUGUAAAUGGAAGUGAUGGGUGUAACGUUCACGUGAUGACCAUAAAGCGACGGGACGUGUGCCCACGAGUACCCGUCUUUCUCCAGCCAGCAUGAGCAGGUAAGCAAAGGCAACCCCAGACGGCAAAAGACACCACACUGCCCCUUAGCACCUCACAUGGGACCACAGGGGAGACAGAACUUGUGGAAGUCAAUGUGUCUUUGGAUCUGCGUGACAGCAGCCUAACCUGAAUCCUAAGAAGUCCAUACCAGUUUAAAGUAAUCCAGCCAGGGCAGGUAGAUAGGUAGAGAAACAAGACAGGGUUUUUGAGCACAAAAUAAGGAAGGUGAGGCAGAGUUAUUAACUAUUUCAAUUCUAUACCCAGAACCAUAAAGUUACAUUCAGACUUCAGCCUCAGAAUCCAGAGGAUGUCUCAGCCAACUCCAGUCCUUCUGAGCUUCUCCCUAGCUCCACAGUGACUCUGGACUAUUGUGGGAAGUAAUGCUAGCAAGAAGGUACCUAGAUCUUAUCCACAAAUGAUUUAGCACUGUUUUUUCUACUUACCUGUU
Molecule: non-coding RNA, 1405 nt
Organism: Sus scrofa (pig)
Lineage: Eukaryota; Metazoa; Chordata; Mammalia; Artiodactyla; Suidae
Source: RefSeq, a predicted model, not a curated record